This is a long non-coding RNA of Cyprinus carpio carpio, 981 nucleotides long. The record is from Ensembl. Lineage: Eukaryota; Metazoa; Chordata; Actinopteri; Cypriniformes; Cyprinidae.
GUGGGGUUUUGGUUUGUACAGUAAGUUAAAUAAAUAAAUUCAUGUUUGCUAUGAUUUGUGUAUCAAACAUAAAUUACUGAAAUAAUUUUUUUCUUUCAUUAGAUGGCAGAAAUGGAAGUGAGGGAGAAAUGGACCUCUCUCAAAACAGGCCUUACUGACAGAUGAUCUGUGGCAUCUGUGCAGAUAUCAUGCUUCGUCACUGUUCAGCACAUGACAUACAAGAAGUUUGUCUCAAAAGUGUGUCAUCAUUAAAAACAACAAAAGGCAGUGCAUGUAAAAUGGUAUCCAACUGUAAUUUUCCAAAUAUAGGACAAUUGAGGAGGUGGAAAAAAUAGGAAUUGUUUCUCUUAUCACUGAUUCCGAAAUACAGGAGAUCUUCCAAGUCAUUCGGCAAGGUUCAGUAAAAUCAGCGUGGAACAAAUGGUGGCAAUCAAAGACUGGAAAGGUGUCAGCUCCCAAAAGUUUCCAUCCUGCAUUGGCGGCACAUAUGGACGACCUAAUAGAAAAAAAAAAAGAAUGUUCUGUUGGAGUCCAAAAAGGAACAGAAGCCUGAAAACAUGCAGAUGAUUUUUGAUGAACUGAUUCCAGAGAUUAGCAUUCUCAUACUCAGAAGAACUGAAGGCUUCAGUAAAUUUUGGGCUGAGAUGUCAUAUCUUGUGGAGUGUGUCAUUAAAAUUUCUAUAUAAGGUCUCCAACACUAACUCUCGACAGACGCAGCAGGACAAAAGUUUGCCUGCCUCCACCAUUACAUCCUGACAGCCAUGGAAAGAGAAGUAUCAGGAAAGUCGGGGAUAGCACCAACAAUCCCGGCUUAACCUGCACACACACACAAACACACACACACUAAGUUUAUAAGUGCCAAGUUUUAACAUGUUGUUUAUGUUUUUCACGUUUCUUAUGUUUUAAAGAAGUCCAUCAUCGCGUCGCUCCAUCAGCCGUGCCAAGAUAAGUAUCAUUGAAAUCAGGGAGCGCUGAGUCUUC